UGAGAGUUUGAUCCUGGCUCAGAACGAACGCUGGCGGCGUGGCUAAGACAUGCAAGUCGCACGGAAAGGCUUUUUCCGAUCCUUCGGGUGAAGAAAAAGCACUCGAGUGGCGAAAGGGCGAGGAAUACUUGGGUAACGUGCCCCCGACACAGGGAUAGCCGCGGGAAACUGCGGAUAAUACCUGAUGACAUCCGAUAACUGCAGGGUUGUCGGAUCAAUGGAUGGCCUCUACUUGUAAGCUAUCGGUCGAGGAGCGGCCCAAGUCCUAUCAGCUAGUUGGUGAGGUAAUGGCUCACCAAGGCGACGACGGGUACCGGGACUGAGAGGUUGACCCGGCGCAUUGGGACUGAGACACUGCCCAGACUCCUACGGGAGGCUGCAGUAACGAAUAUUGGACAAUGGGCGCAAGCCUGAUCCAGCGACGCCGCGUGUAGGAUGAAGUCCUUCGGGAUGUAAACUACUGUCAGGGACUACCACGCGAUACGGGUUAAUACCUCGUAAAGCAGAGGAAUCCCAGAGGAAGUCACGGCUAACUUCGUGCCAGCAGCCGCGGUAAGACGAAGGUGGCAAGCGUUGUUCGGAAUCACUGGGCUUAAAGAGCAUGUAGGCGGAUAAUCAAGCGUCUUGUGAAAGCCCUCGGCUCAACCGGGGAAUUGCUUGGCGAACUGGUUAUCUUGAGGCAGGUAGGGGCAAGUGGAACUCUUGGUGGAGCGGUGGAAUGCGUAGAUAUCAAGAGGAACGCCAGAGGCGAAAGCGACUUG
Molecule: ribosomal RNA, 761 nt
Filed under: uncultured bacterium
Lineage: Bacteria
Description: bacterial SSU rRNA
Rfam family: Bacterial small subunit ribosomal RNA
Source: RNAcentral